GGUACCCUCAUGGGUGUGAAUUA
This 23-nucleotide microRNA is filed under the name Echinococcus granulosus. RNAcentral describes it as "egr-miR-10281-3p". Lineage: Eukaryota; Metazoa; Platyhelminthes; Cestoda; Cyclophyllidea; Taeniidae. The record is from miRBase by way of RNAcentral.